CGUGGGGCAGUGGUUAGCACGUUGGCCUAUGAAGCCGAACGCCUGGGUUCAAAUCCCGGCG
Non-coding RNA from Stomoxys calcitrans (stable fly), 61 nucleotides. The record is from Rfam. Lineage: Eukaryota; Metazoa; Arthropoda; Insecta; Diptera; Muscidae.